Long non-coding RNA from Alligator mississippiensis (American alligator), 7832 nucleotides. RefSeq lists it as uncharacterized. The transcript has 2 exons. The record is from RefSeq and is a predicted model, not a curated record. NCBI's taxonomy places the organism in Eukaryota, Metazoa, Chordata, Crocodylia, Alligatoridae.
AGCUGGGGUCAUCUAGACCCAGCACUCUUUCCUGCUUAUGCAGGGGGUUGGACUUGAUGAUCUAUUGAGGUCCCUUCCGACCCUAACAUCUAUGAAUCUAUGAAGACGAGUCCUGCUCUGUCACCAGUCUGAAUCAACUUCAAAAUAGUAGACUGUUAUGAAUGUACUCUUUUUAUUAAUGCCUUACUGUGUUUCCUGAGUAGAGCAUGUCUACUAUCCUUAUUACCCAGAUAUUAAUGAACUUGCUCCUGAAGACCUCAAGGAGUAGCCUGACCUUGAAGAGCAUCUCCCGGAAAUGCGUUCAGAUAGCCUUCACGUAGUCCAGCUGCAGUAUUCAUACUAGAAGAAACCCGCCACCCUAGACAGGCAGCUGAGACACCCUGACAUCUCAUGGGAAGAGCGCUCGGCCAAAUCCGAGUGGUUGCAAAGCUUUCUCUCAUGCAUGGAUGAGCUCUAACUAAUGCAAGAAGUCUGUGGGCCGACGAGAGGCAAAACACUGCUCGACCUGGUACUGGCAACGGGGGAUGACCUAAUCAGCAACCUAACAAUUGAAGGGAAGCUGAGCGACAGAGACCAUGAGCUGAUCACCUUCACCAUCUGCUGUAAAGCUGGCAAGUCAGUCGGCAAUACAGAAGUCCAUGACUUCAGGAAAGCUGACUUUGACAAGCUGGGGAGGCUUGUCAGUGAGGCCCUAUGGGACCACAACCCAAAGGGGAGGGAGUUCAAGAUGAGUGGUUGCUCCUCAAGGGAGCAAUCCUCAAUGCACAAGCUAAGUCUAUUCCGUCUCGGAGGAAAGGCAGCAAAAGGGCACAGCAGUCCCCUUGGCUCUGCAGGGAACUAGUGGACCUCCUGCAUCUAAAAAGGAAGACCUACAAAGGACUAGAUCCACCUCCAAGGAGGAAUACUCUGCACUGGUCCGGACCUGCAGGGAGCAAACCAGGAAAGCCAAGGCUGAGACUGAACUCCAACUAGCUACAAGUAUCAAGGACAAUAAAAAGUCCUUUUUUAGAUAUGUGGGGAGCCGGAGGAAAAGCCAGGGCAACAUCAGACCCCUGCUAAACCAGAUGGGACAACUGACAACUAAUGCCCAGGAAAAAGCCAACUUGCUAAAUGGGUACGUUGCAUCGGUUUUUCACCAGUCCCAAGGGGCGCCCCUGCCCAUUACAGGACAGGAAUGCCUGGGUGAGGGUGAUUCCUUACCCUCCAUCAAUGUUGACUUUGCGAAGGAACACCUUGAGAGACUGGACAACUUCAAGUCAUCUGGCACUGACAGUUUACACCCCAGGGUACUCAAGGAGCUGGAUAGCGUCGUAGCUCAACCACUGGCACGGAUCUUCAAGAACUCCUGGUGCUCUGGUGAAGAGCCUAAAGGCACCCCAUUGGCCUUCUUCCAGCCUAUCUUCAAGAAGGGGAGGAAAGUGGAUCUGGCAAACUACAGGCCCAUCAGCCUGACCUCUAUCCCGCGGAAGGUCUUAGAAUAGAUUAUCAAAGAGGCUAUUCUUAACAGACUGGCCAAUGGCAGCGUCCUGAGGGACAGCCAGCACAGGUUUGUUGCGGGUAGGUCUUGCUUGACCAAUCUUAUUUCCUUUUACGACCAAAUGACCUAUCACCUGGCCAAGGGAGAAGAGAUUGAUGUUGUAUAUCUUGACUUUAAAAAAGCCUUCUAUCUGGUAUCCCAUGAUCACCUCUUGGCAAAACUGUCAACUGCGGCUUCGGGUUCACCACAAUCCGCUAGCUGGGGAAUUGGCUCCAUGGUCGGACCCAGAGGGUGGUGUUUGAUGAAAGUCAAUCAUCGUGGUGCCCCGUGACCAGUGGGGUCCCUCAAGGCUCUGUCCUUGGGCCUACACUAUUCAACAUCUUUAUUAAUGAUGUAUAGACAUUGGUAUCAGAAAUGGACUGGCCAAGUUCACCAACAACACCAAACUCUGGGGUAAAGCAUCCACACCUGAGGAUAGGAGGGCGAUCCAGGCUGACCUUGACAGGCUCAGGAAAUGUGCAGACGAGAACCUGAUGGUGUUUAACACUGAAAAACGCAAGGUUCUCCACCUUGGGAAGAAAAACCUGAAGUGUGCUUAUAGGCUUGGCAGUGCUACACUGGCUAGCACUAUGGACGAAAAGGACUUGGGGGUCAUGACUGACCACAAGAUGAACAUGAACCUUGAAUGUGAUGCUAGUAAAGCAAGCAAAAUGCUGGCUUGCAUCCAUAGAUGCUUCUCAAGCAAAUCCCAGGACCUCAUUCUUCUGUUGUAUUCGGCCUUGGUGAGGCCGCAGCUGGAGUACUGUGUCCAGUUUUGGGCUCCACAGUUCAAAAAGAAUGUGGAGAAGCUUGAGAGAUGUGCGUAGCUCUCCUCUGCACUGAUCAGAGGUGAAGAAAACAGACCUUAUGGUGAAAGGCUGAGAGCUAUGGGACUCUUCAUGCUGGAAAAACGCAGGGUCAGGGGUGAUCUGGUUGGCCACCUAUAAGUUUAUCAGGGGUGCUCACCAGGAUCUGUGGGAAUGUCUGUUCACUAGAGUGCCCUAGGGGAUGACAAGGUCAAACGGUCACAAACUCCUUCAGGACCAUUUCAGGCUGAAAAUAAGGAAGAACUUCUUUACUGUCCGAGCCCCCAAGCUCUGGAAUAGACUGCCGCUGAAGGUGGUUCAAGCAUCUACUCUGAAUACCUUCAAGAGAAAUUUGGAUGUUUAUCUUGCUGGGAUCCUAUGACUCCUCCUGACUUCCUGCCCCUGGGGCAGGGGGCUGGAUUCAAUGAUCUCCCGAGGUCCCUUCCAGCCCCAAUGUUUAUGAAAUCUAUGAAAUCUAUGAAAUUGAGUCUGCUUCAAUGGGUUGGAAUUCCAGUGCAUCUGAGCAGCCUCGAUGCUCAUGUAUAGGUGCCCAUAAUGUCUAUUUCCACAUCUUUAUUAUGAUUAUCCAUACUUCCUUUGCCCCCAUAGUGAACAUCCCUGUCCUUAAUGAAAAAUAAGACAAAGUAUUCAUUUAGUUUUUUUGGGUCAUAGCUAGAUUAUCUUUAAUGUCUGUUCCAAACUGACUCCAUAGCAGUCUCAUUUCUUUCUGUUGAUCCUAAGUAUGGUCUGUGGGACAAGGUAAGUUUGAGAGCUCUGCCCCAACAAAAUCAAGUAACAAAGAAAUGGUUAUAAGAAAACUUCAGUAAAAUCUCCUAACCUGAAAAUACAGUAAGUAAAUACAGAACCAUGCAAUGCCACUAAUUCAUAACAGAAUUCUGGUUAUUACAAGUCCAACUGAUGAACUGUUCUUAGCUCUGAAGAAGACAUGGUUACAAAUGAUCAAAUAUUUAAAGCUUUAAAAUGUUACAAAUGAUCAAACUAGUUAGAAACUAUUUUAACUAUUUAACUAUUUUAACUAUCAGCUCCUUGAAUGAGCUUUAGUUAAAGCGCCCCCGCUGCUGUUUUUCAGUGAGGGGACACUGAUGUACAUGACAGUCAAUUAUUUAGUACGGUCCAGCACACUCUCAGCAAGCUCAAUUAAUCAAGUCUCCUCAAACAUGUACUAAUUAGCACACCUUGGAACAGAGGUCUGUCAUGUGUAUAGGUGUCCUGUGAUUAUAGCUUAUGUCCUCUUUGAAGUGAUUGUUUAGCUAGUUAGGUCUGGAGUCCUUUUUUAUAAGGAUCCCUUUGUUUGGGAUACAAAUUGCAGAAAGUUUUGUGUUUUAGACAUUAAGAAAUUCUCCCCUAUGCUAAAAUCCCUGAGAUCCUUAAACAAGUAGCCUUCACUAACUAGUUUCCUUUGCAUCUGUAUAGUUUCAUGCUAUCAGACAUAGCAGGCUGUAGCCUAUGAAGGCCCAUUCCUCUCUGAGCAAGUUGACAUAUAAUGUGCCUAGUUUCCUUUGUGUAAUCAAAAGUUCUUUUGAGACUGAAAAUCUACUUUUGUUUAUAAUUCUGUUUACUGUAAAUGAAAUUAACUCGUGGUCACUCAAUCCAAGUUUAAUUCUAUGACCAACUUGUCUAUAGUUUUCUUCACUGCUUACCACACACCAGCAUAAAUUAACAUGAUCUCUGGUUGGUUUCACAUGACUAGGUGGUGAAGAAAUCUGUCAGCCAUCAUACUUGGAGUAAUUGUACAAUACUCCAAGGCUAGUAGUCUUUUAGGUCAAAAUCUUGUUAGAUAUUUAGUAAUAUUCUAACAAUAUUCCCAUAUUCUAAAACUAAUAUUUGUAUAAUCUAACAGUACUAAAUAUGGAGCCUUUGAAACUCAAAUUCUCAGCUGCUGAGCUGACCUUCUUGCUUUCCCAUUUGACUGUUCAUAAUAAGUUCUUGCUCUGUUGUAUGCGAAGUGUUACAGGAAAGAGAAUUACCAAAAUGAAUUGUAUAUGAAUUAUGAGUCAUUAUCUGUUACUAGGCAAUUGCCCAUCAAGAAUGAUGCAGAGGGAGGGGUGCGGGCAGGGACAGAGGCCUGCGUCUGCCCCCCCCCACCUCCAUCACCUUUGGGGUUGGGCCUGCUCCCCCUUCCUCCCCUUUGUCACAGGGCUGGGCCUGCCCCCUCUCCCUCCCUACUGCUGUUGUGGGGCCGGGCUGGGCCCAGAGCCCCUCUCCCCUACCCACUGCCAUUCUGAGGCCAGGCUUACCCCCCACCACUGUUGUGGGGCUUGGCCCAGCACUCCCCCUCCUGCUGCUGCUUCAGGGUCAGGCCAGGCUGGGCCCAGUGGCCCCCCCCACCCUCCCCAUCACUGUUGUGGAAUUGGGCUUGGUCUGAUGCACCCUCCCCCACCCUGCCCACUGCAGUUUUGGGCCUGGGCCUGCCCCCGCAUCCUCUCCGCUGCUAUUACGGGGCUGGGCCACAUCGGGCCGGACCAGGUUGGGCUGGGUUGGGCCCAGCAUGACCUCUCCCAACCCUACCUGCCCCCUCCACCCUCCCCACCACUGUUUUAGGGCCAGGCCUGCUUCCCCCAUGUCCACCCGGCUCACAGCCACCUGCCUCCCCUCCCCAUGAAUGAUGGGAGGGGGGUGUGGAUGGAGCACUGCCACCCAGCACCCUGUGCUGCUGCCGCAUCACUUGUUUCCCACUCUGUCCACUCCAUCACUGUUGCCUCUUGGGAGCAGGCUGGGGGUGGGGGGGCAGAGGCAAGACCAGUACAGCUGGCCUUGGCCCCCUGCUCCUUCUCCUCUGUCCUGACUGUCAUGGCAGCAUCAGGGCCUGCUCUUCCCCCAUGCCAUGGUGGACCCAGGCCUAUUCCCCCGCUCCCUUGUGCUGCCACUGUGGGUCCAACCUAGGCCCAUUCCCCACCCCUCUUGUGCUGCCACCACUGCCUCUGGCUCCUCCACAGAGCAGGGCAGGAGGAGGCAUCUGUAUGGCCUUGGCCCUGCUGUCCCUGCUAUCUCUGCUGUCAUGGUGGCAGUCUGCCACAGUGCUGCCGCCACCUGCAGUCCGAACAUUCUUGGAGCACUCUGAUUAGCUGCUGAGACAUCCAAUUAGAGUGUGAAUAAAGCAUUACAGACAGACAGACAGACUAAGGCUUUUAUAAUAUUAGAAUUAGAUGGAAUGCUAUGGUAAAAGAACUGUGACCUUUACUGUUUAUUUCUCAGCGUGUUUAUAUAAAAACUCAGGGCACCUACACACAUGCCAGACGCCUUCUCCAAUGUGUGCUAAUUAGCAAGCACUGGAGCAGGCUUGAUUAAUUGAAUCCACUGGAGUGUGGUAACUAGUAUGCUCCAGCAGCCUUACCAUCACAUAUCUUCCACAUCCCCAUGUGUCAAAAUGGUGGCAGGGGUACUUUAAUUAAAGCUCAUUGAAUGAGCUUUAGUUAAGCACCCGCACCACCAUUUUGAAGCAUGAAACACUGAAUAUAUGAGACACUGAGGGUGCUUUAAUUAGAAUGGCUCCUGAGAGCCACUUUAAUUCAAGCAUGCCCCCUACCACCCAUCUGGAACUCGUGUAAAGAUGCCCUUAUUUCAAAACCACUUUUGUAAUAGGGUAGUUACUAUUAGUUGCUUAGCUUUUUUUGCCUCAAGCACUGCAGUAUUAAUACACAAUGGGAGUCCUUAUAUGUGCUGGGGUGGGGGGGGAGUGUGCUUUAAUUAGAGUGGCUCUUGGGAGCCACCCUAUUUAACAUGCCUGCAGAAGCUGGUGUAUUCAGCAUACCAUGUUUAAAAAUGGCAGUGGGAGCACUUUAACUAAAGCUCAUUUGACAAGAUUUGGUUAAAGCACCCCUGCUGCCAUUUUGAAGCUUGGGAACACUGAAUUCUCAUGAUGCUGAGGCUGCUGGAACAUGCUAAUUAGCAUGCUUCAGCAGACUUGAUGAAUCAAGUCUGCUCCAACACAUGCUAAUUAGUUAAUUAACAUGUGUCAGAGCAAGGGGCGGGCACAUGGAUAGGUGCCCAAUGUUUGUUGUGCUGAAUCCUAUCCUAUGCAGCAUGCUAGUAUCACAAUGAAAUUUUGUCCACAGGAAAGUAUGGGCCAGCUAAGAAAAUGGGACAUGACCAGAGCACAGAUUCAUAGAUUUUUAGGGACUGGAAGGGACCUUGCAGAUCAUCGGGUCCAGCCCCCCUCCUCCUCCCCCUCCCUUUAGGCAGGAAGACAACUGGAGUCAAGUGACCCCAGACUGUCCAGUCUCCUCCGGAAAACCUCCAGGGUAGGUGACUGCACCACCUCUGGCGGGAAUUUAUUCCAGUCUGGACAUCCUGACUGUGAAGGGGUUUUUCUUGGUAUUAAGCCUGAAGCAACCUUCCACGAGUUUAUAUCCAUUGGUCCUUGUCUUCCCUAGGGAUGACCUAGUGAACAGUUUUUCACCAAGCUCCUGAUGCACUCCUCUGAUAUAAUGGUAAGACACUAUCAAGUCCCCUCUCAACCUUCUCUUCUUUAGGCUCAAGAGGCCCAGGUCCUUCAGCCUUUCCUUGUAUGGCUUGCCUUGCAAGUUCCUGAUCAUACAGGUGGCUCUUCUCUGGACUCUCUCAAGUUUUUCCAAAUCCUUAUUGAAGUGUGGCACCCAGAACUGGAUGCAGUACUCCAACUGCGGUCUCACCAGUGCUGAGUACAGUGGGAGUAUCACUUCCUGAGUUUUACACGAGAUGCAUUGGUUGAUGCAUGCCAGCAUGUUGUUUGCCCUGCUGGCCCCCACAUCACACUGAUGGCUCAUAUUCAUCCAAUAUACUUCAGCGAUUUUUGUUUAUUAGAGUGGACCUUUGGGUGUAGUACCGUGUAGUAGAAUUUAUAGCAAUGUAGUUCUGCUGCUUUAGGGAAGCACCCAGACUGAGGACCUAAGAGCUGCAAAGGUGGCUUUUAGGUAUAGAGCUGUCACAAAAGACCCAUUCAGAAUUCCAUCUGCUAAUUCUGUUAUAGGGUUCAGAACUCACUAAUCAUGUUUGUACAUGCUUGCUAUAAUCACAUGACAGUUGGCUCUGACACUUAUGUUAAAAUUUACUGUUUAUUCUUUUAUUUUCAAUGUCAUAAAAAAAUGUGCUUUACUACUUUGACUUAUAACAUUUGUGCAAUGAAAAGCCCUAUUUCCAUAUCACCAUUACCAUCCCUGCUUUGUUCUCCAGUGGUAUGCUCAUGAAUAAUGUUUGUUUUUUAAUUUCUCUAACUUGUGCUGAGUGAGACUUUCUCCCCCAUAAACAGUGGAUUUUAUUAUAAGUAUAAUAUUUUAUUUCUUGUACCAGGCAACUUUUUAUGAAUGUUGAGAUUACCUCUAUACUUAUUGUCUUGGGUUUGUGAGAAACUGUUAUGAGCUCCAGCUGAUAACAAGAUGAUCUCUAAAUAGUCUUUUAUUCAAAUUUGUAUGAAAGUUAAUAUAUUGUUAUGUUACAUCAUACACAUCUAGCAGCUAAUUUCUUAUAAAGAAAAGUGGCUUCCCAGCUAAAAUUUUAAUGGGUUCUUGAAA